This 340-nucleotide long non-coding RNA is filed under the name Olea europaea (common olive). RNAcentral's name for it is "long non-coding RNA (OEUR_LNC000335)". Lineage: Eukaryota; Viridiplantae; Streptophyta; Magnoliopsida; Lamiales; Oleaceae. The record is from RNAcentral.
CCAAAUCUCCGUCUAAAUACAUCUUCUAUUAGAACUUCGUUACCUUUUCCAUCCUAAUUGUCAUACCUGUCACGUACAAUGUAAUUCCAUAAUUACCCUUCUUUCAACACCCCAAAGAAUUUUGCAAUUUGGUCAUUUCACUUGCUCAAUAAUGCAUGUGCGCUGGCUUAUCAUACAUGUGCAUUCAAGAAUUAGAAUGCAAACAACGUUCAAACAGCAACUUGAAAACAUUUCCACGUCAUGGCUCUGGCCAACCGUGGCACCGGACCUGAGGUCCCUCUCCUCCCGGACAUCGUUGCCGGGAAACGUGCUUCGAUUCCCGGCGCAGUUUUUAANNNNN